This 497-nucleotide ribosomal RNA is filed under the name uncultured bacterium. RNAcentral's name for it is "partial 16S ribosomal RNA". It matches the Rfam family "Bacterial small subunit ribosomal RNA", at positions 28 to 507 of the family's 1533-position model. The record is from RNAcentral.
GAUGAACGCUGGCGGCGUGCCUAAUACAUGCAGGUCGAGCGAACAGACGAGGAGCUUGCUCCUCUGACGUUAGCGGCGGACGGGUGAGUAACACGUGGAUAACCUACCUAUAAGACUGGGAUAACUUCGGGAAACCGGAGCUAAUACCGGAUAAUAUAUUGAACCGCAUGGUUCAAUAGUGAAAGACGGUUUUGCUGUCACUUAUAGAUGGAUCCGCGCCGCAUUAGCUAGUUGGUAAGGUAACGGCCUACCAAGGCAACGAUGCGUAGCCGACCUGAGAGGGUGAUCGGCCACACUGGAACUGAGACACGGUCCAGACUCCUACGGGAGGCAGCAGUAGGGAAUCUUCCGCAAUGGGCGAAAGCUUGACGGAGCAACGCCGCGUGAGUGAUGAAGGUCUUCGGAUCGUAAAACUCUGUUAUUAGGGAAGAACAAAUGUGUAAGUAACUAUGCACGUCUUGACGGUACCUAAUCAGAAAGCCACGGCUAACUACGUG